AUUGAACGCUGGCGGCAGGCCUAACACAUGCAAGUCGAGCGAGCGGCGGACGGGUGAGUAAUGCCUAGGAAUCUGCCUGGUAGUGGGGGAUAACUACUGGAAACGGUAGCUAAUACCGCAUACCAUCGGAUGUGCCCAGAUGGGAUUAGCUUGUAGGUGAGGUAACGGCUCACCUAGGCGACGAUCCCUAGCUGGUCUGAGAGGAUGACCAGCCACACUGGAACUGAGACACGGUCCAGACGCCUACGGGAGGAAGCGAUGGGGAAUAGUGCACAAUGGGAGCAAGCCUGAUGCAGCGAUGCCGCGUGUAUGAAGAAGGCCUUCGGGUUGUAAAGUACUUUCAGCGGGGAGGCGUUACCCGCAGAAGAAGCACCGGCUAACUCCGUGCCAGCCGCCGCGGUAAUAC
Molecule: ribosomal RNA, 406 nt
Filed under: uncultured bacterium
Lineage: Bacteria
Description: partial 16S ribosomal RNA
Rfam family: Bacterial small subunit ribosomal RNA
Source: RNAcentral